GCCUAGCUAGCUCAAUCGGUAGAGCGUGUGACUCUUAAAAACCUGAAAAUAUGGUAUUAAAGUCAUCACAAGGUUGGGGGUUCGACCCCCCCGUUGGGCU
Transfer RNA from Nadsonia fulvescens var. elongata DSM 6958, 100 nucleotides. It matches the Rfam family "tRNA". From Rfam's summary of the family: Transfer RNA (tRNA) molecules are approximately 80 nucleotides in length. Their secondary structure includes four short double-helical elements and three loops (D, anti-codon, and T loops). Further hydrogen bonds mediate the characteristic L-shaped molecular structure. tRNAs have two regions of fundamental functional importance: the anti-codon, which is responsible for specific mRNA codon recognition, and the 3' end, to which the tRNAs corresponding amino acid is attached (by aminoacyl-tRNA synthetases). tRNAs cope with the degeneracy of the genetic code in two manners: having more than one tRNA (with a specific anti-codon) for a particular amino acid; and 'wobble' base-pairing, i.e. permitting non-standard base-pairing at the 3rd anti-codon position. The record is from Rfam. NCBI's taxonomy places the organism in Eukaryota, Fungi, Ascomycota, Dipodascomycetes, Dipodascales.